Molecule: non-coding RNA, 480 nt
Organism: Cyprinodon variegatus (sheepshead minnow)
Lineage: Eukaryota; Metazoa; Chordata; Actinopteri; Cyprinodontiformes; Cyprinodontidae
Source: the annotation of a RefSeq genome assembly
AUGAUUUUCCUCACCCUGGGUGAGACAAAGGAGAGUCCAGAUGAGGAUGCUGUUCAAAGUCAUGUUUCUCUGUCUUCUGUUAUCAGGACAGCUUUUGUAUCACUGUGGUGGACUUUUGGUGGAGGAACCAGACUGGAUGUUGGAAGUGACACCCGUCCCACCCUGACAGUGCUGCCCCCCUCCAGUGAGGAGCUGCAGCAGGGGAAGGCCACCCUCAUGUGUCUGGCCAACAAGGGCUUCCCCUCCGGCUGGAGUCUGUCCUGGAAGGUGGACGGCAGCAGCAGCAGCAGCUGGGAGCNUAUGGCUGAAAGUCGGUCCGAUCGAAAGAUUCAGAAGGACGGCCUCUACAGCUGGAGCAGCACCCUGAGGCUCCCUGCAGACCAGUGGAGGAAGGUGGGCUCUGUGACCUGUGAGGCCACCCAGGGCUCCCAGUCUGCAGUCACAGAGACACUGAGGAGAGACCAGUGUUCCCAGUACUGA